This 409-nucleotide ribosomal RNA is filed under the name Virgibacillus indicus. Its description in RNAcentral is "bacterial SSU rRNA". It matches the Rfam family "Bacterial small subunit ribosomal RNA", at positions 771 to 1185 of the family's 1533-position model. The record is from RNAcentral. Lineage: Bacteria; Bacillati; Bacillota; Bacilli; Caryophanales; Bacillaceae.
AACAGGAUUAGAUACCCUGGUAGUCCACGCCGUAAACGAUGCUAACUCGUUUUUGGUUUUUCGGAAUCAGAGACUAAGCGAAAGUGAUAAGUUAGCCACCUGGGGAGUACGUUCGCAAGAAUGAAACUCAAAGGAAUUGACGGGGGCCCGCACAAGCGGUGGAUUAUGUGGUUUAAUUCGAUGAUACGCGAGGAACCUUACCAAGGCUUAAAUGGGAAUUGAUUGGUUUAGAAAUAGACCGUCCUUCGGGCAAUUUUCAAGGUGCUGCAUGGUUGUCGUCAGCUCGUGCCGUGAGGUGUUAGGUUAAGUCCUGCAACGAGCGCAACCCCUGUUGUUAGUUGCCAGCGAGUCAAGUCGGGAACUCUAACAAGACUGCCAGUGUAAACUGUGAGGAAGGUGGGGAUGACGU